UGGGGAAUAUUGGACAAUGGGCGAAAGCCCGAUCCAGCCAUGCCGCGUGCGUGAAGAAGGUCUUCGGAUUGUAAAGCACUUUAAGUUGGGAGGAAGGGCAGUAAGCGAAUACCUUGCUGUUUUGACGUUACCGACAGAAUAAGCACCGGCUAACUCUGUGCCAGCAGCCGCGGUAAUACAGAGGGUGCAAGCGUUAAUCGGAAUUACUGGGCGUAAAGCGCGCGUAGGUGGUUCGUUAAGUUGAAUGUGAAAGCCCCGGGCUCAACCUGGGAACUGCAUCCAAAACUGGCGAGCUAGAGUAGGGCAGAGGGUGGUGGAAUUUCCUGUGUAGCGGUGAAAUGCGUAGAUAUAGGAAGGAACACCAGUGGCGAAGGCGACCACCUGGGCUCAUACUGACACUGAGGUGCGAAAGCGUGGGGAGCAAACAGG
RNAcentral lists this ribosomal RNA (429 nucleotides) under Pseudomonadota bacterium. Its description in RNAcentral is "Proteobacteria bacterium partial 16S ribosomal RNA". It matches the Rfam family "Bacterial small subunit ribosomal RNA", at positions 355 to 776 of the family's 1533-position model. Lineage: Bacteria; Pseudomonadati; Pseudomonadota. The record is from RNAcentral.